AUCCAGGGGUGAGAUGUCGGAAGGGCACGCGUGAUGCCUCACGGGAGCUGCCGCGUCUCGCAUCCCGGUGAUGAUGCACAGCUUUGACAAGAGAAUAUUGGAAUAACCGCAUUUUUUUGUGUGUGUGGCCAAUCUAAUGGGUCCUUUGCAUUUCCAUGUGAGUUUUAGAAUACGGGUGGUACAUCCCAGCUGGAAUGUUGAGUCUCAGAAGUUUCUAUCGUCACAUCCUCAAGCUCAGAGAUUCUUUCUGUGUCUGCGGCCAGUCUACAAAAGAGCCCACCUGAGGCCUUCCUCAUGUCCGUCACCCCAUUUAGGAUCUCUAGCAUUUCUUUGUUUUCUUAGAAUUUCCACCUCUCUGCUUGCAUUGUCCAUGUGAUGUUAUGUGUCCUUUAUCGGUAGUUAAAAAAGAAAAUCCUGGUCUGAUAAUCCCGGCAUCCCUGCUAUGUCUGUCUUUGGCUCAAACUGUGCCUUGGCCUUUGCUGUUCUGGGAAAGCAGACACGAUGACCUGUGGUCAGUAGGGCUCCAGUGAUGGGGUGUGGGGGAGGGCAGGGAGGCCUUCUCCAGGUCUGUGAUUCCGUCUGGCUUUGGUUGAGCCUGUGGCCGCAGACUCGGAAUUUCCCCAGUGCUUCUUCGUUUCCUCAGGUGGGACGGCGUGGCUAGAGGGAGCUGGAGUGUGCUACAUCCCUUCCUCCAGAUUUCAAAGAAGACAAGGAUGUCUGCUCUAUCUAUUUUUAUUUAAAAUUGCACUGGAGAUGCUAGUCAGUGCAAUAAGGCAAGAAAAAGAAACGAAGGUAUACAGGUUAGAAGGGGUUAAAGAAGGAGAAAUCUCUAAAGAGGAAGUUGUGUCUGAGGCUGACAGCUUGGAAGUCAUCUUAAUCCAACGAGCGUUUCUUGUCUCUUCCUUAAAAUG
Long non-coding RNA from Molossus molossus (Pallas's mastiff bat), 911 nucleotides. RefSeq lists it as uncharacterized. Lineage: Eukaryota; Metazoa; Chordata; Mammalia; Chiroptera; Molossidae. The transcript is spliced from 5 exons. The record is from RefSeq and is a predicted model, not a curated record.